CCCGGACGUUGCUCUCUACCCCGGGAACGUCGAGACUGGAGCGCCCGAACUGAGCCACCUUCGCGGACCCCGAGAGCGGCGGCGCGACUCACCGCGGAGGCGCCCGGACGCGUCAAGCCCAGCCCAAUAGGAAGCACCUGAUCCACACUCUUUCUAGCCCCAGGGAUGCUCAGGAAAGCAGCCUUUCUUUAGGGCUGUCAUCUGUUCUGGGGAUCUGUUGCUGUUUCUUGGGCCCACAGAAUACACUCCACACCUCGGGACUCCAUAAUAUUGGACAAGGCUGGAAGGCCCAUUUGGCUCCUGCAGCCUCUUAUGCAGGUGAGGACAGACCCAAGGUCCAGGCAAUGCUGGCCUUUGGAACACAGAACCUGGCUCACUGACUCCCACUCCAGUUGUCUUUUCCCUCUGCCUCUGGAGCAACCCUCUCUCCUCCAGAGCAACCCCUGUCCCUCCUUCCUACCUCUCUCUAGGGCUGCACCCCCAGCUCACCUUAGACCUGGCCCUUCCUACCUGUUGCCCCUACUGUCUUGUCCCAUCCCAGUGGUCAGGAGGGAGAGUACUGGCCAAAGGCCCAGCUCCACCUGUGACUUAGGGGAGUGCCAGGCAUCACCCAGAGGUCCCGGCCCUCGGGGGCCUGGCAGGCUCUGCUGUGGGGGAAGCAGAGUUAGAACUGGGGCUGCUUCUCCUGUCCCCCAGCCUGGCUGGGCCUCCCCCACCUCCCUUUCUGCCUGCCCUCUUACAACUCCAGCAGGGGGCGGGCAGGGGAAAGAAAAGGAGGGACAAGUUGGAUGGGGUCCAUUUGGUGUCCAGGAACAACUUGGAGAGAGGCGGGGAGGGGACAGGCAGCAGGGCCCUGGCAGAGCCAGGGGAGGGCUGGCCUUUGGAUGGCCUUCUGAUCCCAAGCCCAUCCUCCUGGGGCAGUCUUCCCUUGAAAGGGAGGGUUUGGUGAACCCUGGUGCGGACCCCCCCGCCGGACCUCACUGCCCCAGUGCGGGGCGUGGUAGGCGGGUUUGCAAUGGGUACAGCCUCUCUCUCCAUUCCAGUAGAGCAGCUCCCAGGGCCCAGAGAGGCUGUCACUGAGACUUCCCUCUGGGGUGGGGUGGGUUCUGGUGGCCCUGUGUUCCCCUGCAGGAGGACCUCCUGAGGCUUCGGGCAGGAGCUGGUGCACACCUGGAGGAGAGUGCUGGUGAAUGGCAGGUGUGUGCCUCAGUGUCCUUGCUGCCAGGGUGUCAGCCCUGCUUCACCACUGGCCGUUUGUCUCUGUCCCCUCCACUGGCCUCUUGAAGCACAGAGACCCUCCGGGUACUUUCCUUCCUCUGGGCUUCCACUCAUGCUAUUCCCUGCUCCCUUUUUCUACCUGGAGACCCCCAUUCCUCCUCCUCCUCUGCUGCCCUCACCUCCACCUGGGCCCUCCCAGCUCCCGGGAGAUGGCUGAACCCCACUCCCCACCCGCUAGUCAUCCUCUUCAGCGGUCCUCCCAGAGCUGUCCUCAGCAUGGCAGCCUCCACAGCCCCUGGGUGUCACCCCCGGUUUCGUGUCUGCCUCGGACUCCAGACCUGCCCCUCCCAGGCUGGCCCAGAUGGAUCCUCUACAGUGACUAACCCAAACCAGCACCAGGCAGGGACCCAAUAAACCUUUG
RNAcentral lists this long non-coding RNA (1639 nucleotides) under Homo sapiens (human). Its description in RNAcentral is "non-protein coding DIO3OS:10". The record is from RNAcentral. Lineage: Eukaryota; Metazoa; Chordata; Mammalia; Primates; Hominidae.